Penaeus chinensis is the source of this 957-nucleotide long non-coding RNA. RefSeq lists it as uncharacterized. The transcript has 2 exons. The record is from RefSeq and is a predicted model, not a curated record. Lineage: Eukaryota; Metazoa; Arthropoda; Malacostraca; Decapoda; Penaeidae.
AUGCUUUAUUGGCGUCAUUUAAUAUAUCAGCUGUAUUAGUAUUACAAACUAUAUAUAUCGAACGUAUUUGCAAGCUUCUUUUGUUGACAUUUCACUUGUUACGUGGCUGUUAACAGCGGGUAGCGAGACCUGGCACGCCGAGCAAGCAAUGAUUCUUAAGCGAGCGGCUCCUGUCCUCACGGCAGUUACGACUAGGUCUCAGCAAAGAUCAGAAUGAAAAGAACUCAUUGUAAUGAGAUGACCCGGCGGCGGCAGGGGCGAGGGACACUUGCCAGUACCUGCCUCUGGUAAGAAGCUACGGCUCUGUACCAGGGGCAGGUACCCAACCUUCCGUCUCCCCGAUUGACAUGUGGCUGCUCGACCCCUGCACGGAUCCCGGACUCUCCCUGGCAACUGACUCUUAUGCCCCCCGCCCCCCCCCCCCUCUCAGCCUCCAGGAGCAAACGUCAGCCGAACAUCGUUCCUGUCAGCCCUACAUACACCCCUCUGCUCUCGGAUGCAGCUUUUCCUAUCUCGUGAUCAUUUCUCCACAUAAUAUAUUGCGAAGAUUUCUUUGAAUCUUCUAUCAGUUUAUGUUCCAGCUAAUUGAUAUUGAAUCCCAGGAACAGCGAACUCACGGAAACUAAAUUGCAUCUUUGUGUAUCAGUUUACCCAUGAUGAAUAUGUUGCUUGUAUCAAGCAUCCAUUUAAAAAUUGUUUUGUUUCUUGAUAUAUCUUUUCCUCUUUGCUAUGAGCAAUGUGUUGUAUUUAAAGUACAAUAUGUUAUUCCACUGUAAAAGAGGCAAUCACGGGUUCAAUAAAUUUGAUUUUAAUAAAUGGAUGCUUAGAUUUUACCUCAGGAAUAAUAUAUCAUUUAACGUUUUAUAAGGAUGUUUCCACCGAUUUCUACACUAUGAAUGUAUUUGUACCUCUAAUCAAACUCUAAGCAUUUUCCAAAUAUUAAAAUUCAUAAAUAAA